AGUGAACGCUGGCGGCGUGCUUAACACAUGCAGGUCGAACGAGAACGGGUUAUAGCUUGCUAUAAUUGUCAGCUAAGUGGCGCACGGGUGAGUAAUGUAUAGGUAAUAUGCCUCUUACUAAGGGAUAACAAAUGGAAACGUUUGCUAAUACCUUAUACUCCUUAUUAACAGAAGUUAAUAAGGGAAAGAUUUAUUGGUAAGAGAUUAGCCUGUAUUGUAUCAGUUAGUUGGUGGGGUAAUGGCUUACCAAGACUAUGACACAUAACUGGUUUGAGAGGAUGAUCAGUCACACUGGAACUGAGACACGGUCCAGACUCCUACGGGAGGCAGCAGUGGGGAAUAUUGAACAAUGGACGAAAGUCUGAUGCAGCAACGCCGCGUGGAGGAUGACACAUUUCGGUGCGUAAACUCCUUUUAUAUGAGAAGAUAAUGACGGUAUUAUAUGAAUAAGCACCGGCUAACUCCGUGCCAGCCGCCGCGGUAA
Molecule: ribosomal RNA, 484 nt
Filed under: uncultured bacterium
Lineage: Bacteria
Description: partial 16S ribosomal RNA
Rfam family: Bacterial small subunit ribosomal RNA
Source: RNAcentral